RNAcentral lists this ribosomal RNA (356 nucleotides) under uncultured bacterium. RNAcentral describes it as "bacterial SSU rRNA". It matches the Rfam family "Bacterial small subunit ribosomal RNA", at positions 28 to 408 of the family's 1533-position model. The record is from RNAcentral.
GAUAAACGCUGGCGGCGUGCCUAACACAUGCAAGUCGAACGAUCCCGCAAGGGAGAGUGGCGGAAGGGUGAGUAACACGUGGGAAUCUACCUCCUCGCAGGGAACAACCUCUCGAAAGAGAGGCUAAUACCCAAAAGGGUCAGAAAUGAUCAGAGUCGAAAGGCGUGAGGAGAGGAGCCCGCGGCCCAUCAGCUAGUUGGUGAGGUAAUGGCUUACCAAGGCUACGACGGGUAGGGGAUCUGAGAGGAUGUCCCCCACACUGGAACUGAAACACGGUCCAGACGCCUACGGGUGGCAGCAGUGAGGAAUAUUGGACAAUGGGCGAAAGCCCGAUCCAGCAACGCCGCCGUGGAGGG